This 207-nucleotide long non-coding RNA is filed under the name Capsicum annuum. RNAcentral describes it as "long non-coding RNA (CANN_LNC006125)". The record is from RNAcentral. Lineage: Eukaryota; Viridiplantae; Streptophyta; Magnoliopsida; Solanales; Solanaceae.
UAUUGCUAAGCGCUCAGAUGGAUCCCAUUAAUUUUCUUCCAAUUCAAUCACCCCUUCCCGUUCAUGAACUUCCAUUGAAAACAAUUGUCUAUUCUUUUUACACACAUGACCAAAAGAGUACUUCUCAUCGCAAUUGAAGCACAAGCCCUUGCUUCUAAUCUCAUCCAUCACAACAGAAGGAUCCUAUCAUUUUAUAUAGGUGUUUUG